This 56-nucleotide transfer RNA is filed under the name Idiopteron biplagiatum. RNAcentral describes it as "partial tRNA-Ser". Lineage: Eukaryota; Metazoa; Arthropoda; Insecta; Coleoptera; Lycidae. The record is from RNAcentral.
AAAGAAAUAUAUUUAAAAAAAGCUUCUAACUUUUUUAUUAGCAUUAAUAUGUUAAU